This 3960-nucleotide long non-coding RNA is filed under the name Heterocephalus glaber (naked mole-rat). RNAcentral's name for it is "lncRNA (ENSHGLG00100045419.1)". The record is from RNAcentral. Lineage: Eukaryota; Metazoa; Chordata; Mammalia; Rodentia; Bathyergidae.
CUCUGAACUGAACAGACUCGUUGGUGUAUCACUUUGCUUUUCAGCCUCUAUAUUAUUACAAAUUUCCAUAACUAUUAUUUACUGAGUUUCUACUAAGUUCUAGGGGCAGUGCUAGGUCCUAUAAACAUAAAGAUUCCAAAUACAGUUUAAGAUAUUUAAAUACAAAUGCUCUAGAAAUGCUAAGGCAUUUAGAUAUAAGUGCCCAUGAUAUAAUAUCAAGGAUUGACAUGAAGUUUACCACACAGUGAACCAGGCCUGGAGCUGAAGCAGCCCAGUCCCAUGCAUAGCUUCAUGUCUUUUACAGGUCUAGAACAGGCAUGGUUUCAUGGUCCACACUUCCUCACUCUCCAGUAAUCACAAUGGUUAUUUGUGCUAAACUGCAUUGUAGCAUAAUCCUUAAGGAAGUAGAUAACCUAUUAUCCUUUGUAUUAAAAAAAGUACAUAGAUCACACAAAAUUGGCUUAUAUCGAGGAUCUAGUCCCUUUCUUGUUUUCUAUAUUGCUCUCAAUUCCAUUAGAAGUAAUCAUACCUUUUGAAAUUGAGCCACUGUAACUCAAUUCAGUAAAGAUGAUGUAUAAGCUAGAAUGGGACUAGUCACAUUUACAAAUGGGGGAAAUAAAAUGGCAGCACAAAGGGUACAAAGUUUGGUAGGAAGUUAGGCCUGCCUUAAAUUCCUGGAUUUCCAACUUGUGAUGAGACCAAAUUCUUUAACAGCUUUAGCACCAGACUCUUUAAUGAAACUGAGCACACUCUUUCCAUACUCUCAGGGGUGGUGUAAAGACUAAAUGUAACAAUAAAAUGUAUGGCAUCCAACACACUAUAUGUACUCCAAAAGUUUUGGACAAUGCAAUAUCAGAGGCCUGAAAGCCACAUCCUUUAUAUCAAGACCUUUCUUGAACCAGCCCAAAAAUGUGCCCAUGGAAACAUCUUUUUGUGUAUUGAAGACCUUAUGGUUUGUUUACGUGCUUUAAUGGCAAAUAUCUCUGGGCAUGAUUAUAUUAAUUUUGCUGUCAAAAACUUGGGCUCUUUGCCCAUCCUUCAUCUUGUGUCCUGAAAAGAAGGGCUCUCAAAUGAAAAGAAGUGGAAGAGUAUCUGAAGAAAAGGAGAGGUGGAAAGAUGUCAGACAAAAGGCUUGCUAGCUCUACUGCAAGAAAUUUAGGGGUGGGUAGUAAAGGGGAAGGGCCCUCAUUUCAGGGAAUUCUCCUGAAUCCUCUGAGGCAUUACUGGAACAGAACCAAGAAAUAACCAACCAUAUACAUGACUAGUUUACAAAGAUGUUUAUAUAUAGUUCAUUGCUGAGCAAAAAGUUGUUUUUAAGUCAGCAGGAAAAAAGCUAAGCCCAAAUGAUUCAGGCAAACAGAACUUAUGUUCACAAAAAUAAUGACAUUUUCAAUGAACUGUUAACAGAAUUGAACUUGGGUAUUAUUUCUUGAACCAAUCUAUAGCAUCUAACACUUUCUUUAGAAGUUACAUUCACUUAGUAAAAUUUAAUUUCACUUGUGCUUUUUGUUUGUUUGGUUGUUUUUGCUAUGAUUGCUUUUAAUAGUGGCUAUUUAGGUCACAAAUGGCCCCUUGUGGAGUAUCAGUGUUUCUUUGGUGAUUCCAAUCCAGGAGAAUGGGACAAAAGAUUGCAGUGGUUUCUUGCCAGAAUACAACUGACCUAGUUAGUUAUGGCCAUGGUGAUGCUGUGUAACAAAUCACCCCAAAACUCGGUAGCUCAACAUGAUGGCAACUUGUGCCCAUGCACCUGUGCAGUGGGCCAGAAUGGCACUGCCACAUUCCACACAUCUUCAUGUCCAGUCCCUUCCAGGUGUGUGUCAUCCUCCUUGGACAGGUGAGCUGGUAGAGAUGUGUUCUUUUCAUGGUGAUGGCACAGAAGAUAUUCAUAGACACAGGAGUCCUGCAAAGACUAGAUUUGGAAAUGACACUUUUUUUUCUUUUGAGAUAGGGUCUUGGUAUGUAGUUCAGGCUGGCCUUGAGCUCACUGUUUAGCUCAGGCUGGCCUCUAACUCAUGACAGACCUCCUCCCUCAGCCUCCUGAGUGCUGGGAUUACAAGCAUGUACCACCAUGCCCAGUUCAACAUAUUUUUAUUCUUGUUUGCAUUCUUUUGGCCAAAACAAGUAAAACAGCAAAAUUUAAAUUCCAUAGACAGAGACUGUGUUCCAUCACCAAUGAAACAAGACAAAUGUGUGGACAUUAGGAGGGUGAAGAAUUGUGAUUUCUUGUUGCAGAAAAACAGAUACAAAUAAAUAAGAAAGUGCACUUCCAGCUAUUCUUUGUGUUGUAUCAAAGGCACUGGCUCCAAUAUAUAAAGGGUCAUUUUUGGUAGUUUUACAAGUAGGAAUUUUAAAACUAAUGGAAUACUAUGGGAAUACUAAUGGGAUCAUACGACCUCUAUGGCAAGGUUUUCUAAUAGUGAUUAGUAACAUUAUUGAUGUAUAAAUCCCGCUAGAGAAAAUAUAAGAUAAAAUAAAUUAAAAAAUAGCAGUGACUUGGAGUAGGGAUUUUUUUUUUACUAUUUUUGCUAUUGUUGCAGAUGCACACCUAUAUAUGUACUGAGAUAGGAUACAACAUGUUUUUCUCUAUAUAUGCUAUGGUUUAAAAGAAGUUUGAAAUCUAUUGCUUUAAAGUAGUUUUUAAAAACAUUUUUUUCUUCGCAGUAUUGGAGAUUAAACCUAGACCCUCAAGCAUAGUAGGCAAUUACUCUACUAAAAUUUUUCAUUUUUAUUGAUACGUGGUAAUUGCACAUAUUUGUAGUAAAAUAUUAUCUAAUUUAUAAAAUGUUAUUAGGUUUAGGUGCAUUCUGAUUUUUUAAAACAUUCAUUUUGCCGGGCGUGGUGGCACAUACAUAUAAUCCCAGCACGUGGGAGGCUGGGCCAGGAGGAUUGCAGCAAACUUGAGACCAGCCUGGAUGACGUAGUGAGUUCCAAGGCCAGCCUGAACUACAUAGACCUUGUCUCAAAAAAUAAAAAUGUUCAUUUGGUGGGUGCAUGCCAUCUCCUUUGAAAGUGAAUUGCUUUUUAAGUGCUCCUUAUUUCCUUUGUAUGGAUGUGUAGUAGAGGAGCAUUUUCUUUAAAAUCAAUCAAUGAUAACAUCAGGUUUAAUGGACAUGUGUUUUCAUUUAUACACCAGUAACACUCAUGGCUGUAAUGAUGGGUGAACCACGCUUGGAUUUAUUUUGACAAUAACGGUAAUAUUUACUUUCUCUAUUUAGUUUGCUCAUGGCUAGUUUCCAGAUGAUGGUUUAGAAUAAAAGCACCUCCUGGUUAUAUUUUUUGAAAACGUACUGUUAGAUUACUUCAGAAACAUUUAUUAUCAGGUUAUCUUUUUCAGAUUUUAAUGCUUGUGUUACUCUGUUUACGUUAACCAUGGCCCGUUGGAGCUGCGGUGGGCCCUCGCCAGGAGCAGAUGUGCAGGAGACAGAUGCAGACGGCCUGGGCCACAGGCGGUGUCUCGGAUGUGGCUCUCCCCCGCGGCUGUGCCUGCUGUCUCUCCGGGAAGGGUACACAGCCAAGAAUAAACUCCUUAGUUUGGCCUCACCUUGCACAGGUCCUUGCCUUUGUGAUAAUGGAAAUCAAAAUGAAGACAAGAGCAACAAUGGGGAAGGAAAGCUGAAGUGAGCACAGCUCUGAUGGACAUGACCAGGCUGGCCUGUUAACAAGGAAAGUGGCCAGUUUUAUGGUGUCGAGAGGUGAGACAGGGCGGGCUUGGUCAUGGUCUCAGUGCUGGUCUUGAAAUCUCUGGAAAGUCCUUGUAGCUUGAGGGACAGUUCAGUUUCCAUGAAAUGAUCGCUCUUGCUGAGAGGGGCGGUCUCAGUUCCUAGGAGGCUCUGCUGGAAUCCAAGGUGACUGCAGGAUCAGGACAGUGCCUGGUGUCUGCUAGGUGCCCAUGUCUGGGGUGAGAGCAGACAUUGAAUGUCCUGCGAAUCUCUUAUCUGGUGUCCUCAGUCUUGAGGGAGA